AGGCAACCUGUGUACAGGUACAUGCCUCUGGUGAUAGUUAAAGGGAGAUCUGCAACUGGAGCAUGUAUGUUCUGAUAUUGCACCAGGAUUCUGUUUGUGCUGUCCUCCUGAAAAAUGAUGAUGAACAUCUUUUCAUUUAUCCACCAACAUCUUUGAUGAGGAGCUCCAUUAUGUUUAAUCAAGUCAAAAAUCUAUGAAACAUCACAUUCUAAGAAGACAGAAAGUGGACAGGGGAGAAAGAAUAAGAGGAAUAAAAAUCAAUGUCAGAAAUGAAAUAAAGACUACUGCUAUCAACGCUAAAAAGAUGAUCAAGAAAUAAAAGAAUGCCGUCAGUAACUCAGUGUUGGUAUGAAAGCCACAACCUGUGAAAACUCAUACCAGAAGACAUAUAUAAUAGGAAUAAGACUAUAUAUAUUGAUUAUAUUUUAUUAACUAUUGCUAUUUAAUAACUAUUCAAAACAGGAAGAACAGAACAAAUGGGAUCUUACAAGAUUUCAAGAAAAAUUAUAGUUAAUCACCUUUGUUUAAGUAUAUAGUUUCAUAUAAUGAAGGAAUUUCAUUAUAUAUUUUAUUUAAUGGGAUAAAUCUAAAUGAUUUGUUUCUUGUUUAUUUCUAUCAUCUUUUCAAUGAAAUGAAAAGUUUUGUUGUUUUUUAAAAAAUAUCAGUUUCAAGUAUGAAUAUUCACAAUAAUAUUA
Long non-coding RNA from Peromyscus maniculatus bairdii (prairie deer mouse), 695 nucleotides. RefSeq lists it as uncharacterized. Lineage: Eukaryota; Metazoa; Chordata; Mammalia; Rodentia; Cricetidae. The record is from RefSeq and is a predicted model, not a curated record.